CCCAAGGAACCAGUGCAGUGAUAGUAAGAUCAAGAAGUUAAACAAAAGCUGGUUGCAUCGGUCACGAUUGAUUUUCAUUAAAGGUAGCACCACCUAAGCCACACCGGAUAACGCAGUCACCCUCCUCCAUAUCAAGUUCACUGUCUGAAUCUUCAGUGUCACUGGGGACGUCAGUAGGGGGAGAUGAAGGGGGAGACGAGUCAGCGGGGCUGACAAUAGCAUCCUGUAACUCUGAACCUACAAUUGAAGUUGUUUUUAUUUAUAUAUAAGUUUUGUUGUUUAUUUAUCAUAAUUUAUAUGAUUUGGAUUUUUAUUUAUGUGAAACCGUUACCUGCUUUACUCUUUUUGAAGAAUGUUGAAAUUGGCACUUGA
Long non-coding RNA from Halichondria panicea, 372 nucleotides. RefSeq lists it as uncharacterized. Lineage: Eukaryota; Metazoa; Porifera; Demospongiae; Suberitida; Halichondriidae. The record is from RefSeq and is a predicted model, not a curated record. The transcript has 2 exons.